AUAACUCUAAUAAACACUCUGUUUUUGGUCCAAACUGACUGUUGAGGAAAAUAUGUGACUCGUUAUUCACUAAAUGCUUCACUUAGGAACCCAUCUAGUUACUGAUUGUUUGGCAAUUUAGUCCUGGCAGGUAAUUUUCAGUAGGUUUAUCAGAACCAUUCCCGAAAAAAGCCACCUGCUGCAGACGAAAGCAAUGCUCAUGAGUCGAUUGAGAGUGAAACAAACCAUUAAAGUAUAAGGCUGCAAAAACCUCACCAGGUACAAUUACAAGUAGGUGCAGGUCUUAGGAGUGCCGACUGAGGACAAACACAUUUCAGCUUUUGGUCUCUGGGCAAACUUAAGUCAGAAUAAAGACAGCUAAAUGUCAAAUCCCUCAAAAAGGGGGAAUAAUCCUGCUCUGGAUGAACGACUCCAGUCUUUCUCUGUACCUUCAGUCAAAAUCCCCUCAGAGGUCUUUUUUCGGGACUGGUAGAUUAUCAGAGUAUGCACCCCUUACACCUGGGGGAUUGCAAAAGAAAUCACAGGAAUUUCUCUAAGAGCUGGCCACCCAUGAGAAAAGCAUUAAGUUUCAUCUGUGCCAGAGCACUUCUGACUCUCAGAAAACAUCUGCAAAUAUGCUCCACCAGCUCAGUUUAGUGCAAUUUAAAGCUCUCUGGUAGAAGACCUAUUAUGCAUUUUCUUCCUUCCUCUUAGAAUCACGGCAAUUUAUAUUCAGGAUCACUGCAUUGCAUUGCAUUUGGAUGUUCCAUUGUUGUGGUUCGAACAAAUUGCCUGAGAAGUGAAAAAGGCCAGCGUCACCUUGUCCCACUUCAUCUUAACUUAUUUGUCAAGCUGUCCAUCAUCCUUUCACCAGGGGACUACUUGUUAAUGAUUGAUGCAGCACCUCUUAAUGUGAUGGAUGCAUCUCCUGCUGCAUGAUGGGACAGGGGGUGGGGGGUGAGUCACACACCCGUGCCCCCCUCCCCACCCACCACUCACUUACUCACUCACUCACCAGUGCUCUCCAUGUAGGGUGGACACACCCCCGGUGUCCAUGGAUGGAGGAACAAAGGCGUGUUCAAUUUAAGCCCCAUCAAUAAUGUACAGCUGAGGAGACCUUUUGCUAAAGGAGCCCUGUAAAAGCUGGGUCACUGUUGCGGUAUAGAAAUAGUAUUUCUCAUGGUUUAUUAUCUCUUUGCACUGAGUUGUGUAUGCCAUCAUCGUAUGUCACAUGGCGGCGUCAUUGUGAUGCCUGAGGCCUCUUGAGUUGUGUUGUUCUGUGGAUCUGCAGCCCUGCUGCUGGAGAAUAUGUCAAAGCAAGAUAAGAAGCAAGCCGUAGUUUUUGUUGCUUAUUUAUUGCCUAUGUCAGAAGUUUACACACAUACUGUCUAUAGAACUUUUUUUUUACUUUACAUCAGACAGAAGCAGAACUAUGUAUUCAUUUUGACAUCUUCCGUGUUGCUUUAUACAUAUUAAUAUAAAAAUACAGUGUAUUGAGAGAAGAAAAUGCAGCAAUCAUUACACUGUUGACAUGAAAAUAAGAUAACAUAGAUGGCAGAACAAGAUUUUCACUUCAGGACAUCCAUUUAAGUAUCUCUAAAGCAAUUUUUGAUGGGUAUUUUAGAGGUCAUGCUCAUAGCUUGUGGUUAAACUCAUACAGGCUUACGGCUUUAGAAAUAAUCAAUAUCUACCCUAAAUGGAAGGAAAAACAGUGGCAAGGAUUUACUGGUUGCAGAUGAUGUUAUCUGUUUUCUACCAGUAAUAACACUUGCACAACCAUUUUGCACAAAAGGAAGAGAACAGAAAGCUGCUGUGAUGUCAAUGGGAUGCGAUGGAUGCAGGAUGAAACGUUUUUGUUACCAGACAGAAAUAGUUUAAAGGUGUAUGAUCUGAGAUUGGGGGCAUUUGGAAUGCCUCUCAACAGCCCUCAACAUGGCGUGCUGCUCACAGCUAAAAGAGCUAACGGCACUCACAGAGCAACCAGAGCAAAGGGUGUUAGGGGCUAAGGGGGGACCGAAGGCGGGGGGACCGGAGGGGGCUGCUAUGAUGCUGCCAGUCAGGACGUCGUGACCACCUGUGAUCGCCUUAUGAAAGCAGUAGUGAGCAAUGUCCAUCAGCUGACAGCGGGACACGUCCACAUGCAUUGAAUGGAUGCACAGAUGGACUGUGUAAAUAAAGCAGGGCGAAGCCGGGACAACAUCAAACACUCCUAAUUAGCACGGAGCACUAACUGCAGCUGAGGCUGGGCUUUUGCAGGUAUUUAGUCUUAAACCAAAAUGAUUAUGAUCCAUUCUCUGAGCACUAUGGACACAGAACCAAUGCCAAAUUUCAUUGCAAUCCUUCCAAUAGUUGUUGAGAUUUCAGUCUGGACCCAAGUGGUGAGUCAACUAACUGACUUUGUUUAUCUUUAUUGUGGCUAAAAAUGGGGAACAGCAUUACGUGACAUCUGUCAGAACCACCUGGCAUUUGUGACAAUCAUAUACUUUUGACUCCUACAAUGACGAGCUCACAUUUGUCUGUACUGAGCGGUGACAUUCAAUUUUGAAAUCUCAUGAAGAAAGUGAGGGAGAGUGUCAACAAUGCACAAAAGAUAGCUGCAUUUUCAGCGUAGUGGUUGAAGGUCUUUGAGUUAAGUGGUCGUAAAGAGUAAAGCUGUAGGGGUUACCAUUUCCAGUAAGAGAAAAAGUGGACCCUGUCUAGGAGAAUGAUGUGAUCAAGGAGUGUAAAAUGAUCAAAACGGAUGUGUUUCUUCCGUCGGCUUAUAAAAGACAAGCAUUUAAAACUUCCAUACCAGUGAGUUUGAAAAGCCAGACUGAAACCUCUGAAAAAAGAUUGUUUUUAUUCCUGAAUGCAAUCAGCUGAUUAGCAAUCUCUCCUCUUUUUUUUUCUUCAAGGAGCAUAAUUGCAGUUGACCCUCUGGCUCACUUCAUACUGGUCGCACAUUUGAGCAGACUCACGGCUGCCCAACAUAUAAUUCCUUUGUCGCUAUGAAAAUCCACCAAAUAGUUUUACUCUAAUGCUUUUACUAGUGUGAGCUACGGGCAAACAGUGGUCGCUCGUGUUCCACGAAGGGAUCCAUACACCCCUUUUAACCUUUCUUAACCCAACACAAACGCGGUGCACCGAGGGCAAGGGGCCAUGCACAAACAACAGUCUCCCCUCGCACAAGACAAAUGCCCGUCGACAUCCCCGGCUGAGAUGGCCAGCUUUGCCCCCCCCCCCCCCCCCAAUCCAUCUGUGGCCACAGGGGAGCAUGUGGGGAUCAUGCUUCAUAAUUCAUAGAAGGAGGGAGCCAUACGUUCUGAGAGAGACCACCUCAGGCAGGACCUUUUCACUAUGCAUUGGAUGUCUGAAAGCCAAUGCGCAGAAAGCCAAAGAUGGAUGCUCUGUGGUGUUUUUAGGAGCUGUGGGUUAUUAGCUUCAUCAGAUCUGCGCACAGUCACACUGUCGUGCAGGAUGUGUGGUAAGGGCACAAACUCUUAGGCCUGCAUACGUCAGUGAUUAAACCGGACGGGCCAGAGAACUGCCUGGAUGUAAAGACGUCAGAAAACAGAACUGCACUAAAGGUUUUGACGAAUCCCAUUAGGGAAGUCAGACUCCCACGUUACACAUCGCGUAGAGCAGCAUUCUCAGCAGUUAAGAGAGAUGAGAAAUUCUUUGGAGGCUGAUUCCAUGAUUAAAUUACACUAUAUUUUCACCUAAAACAAGCCUAAGAUUAUUGUUGUCCAUGUUUUCUCUAAUAUCCCCUGUUGUUCUUGUGCUGCGGAGGUUUAGUUGAAGACAAAUAUCUGCUGCAGUGAACUAUAUAAUUGUAAUGUUUUGCAGUGAUAUUUUUGUCUUCCUCGUUAUAGUUUUGGUGGCAUAAGAGCAAAGCCUGUGAGAUCGAGAGCACUGAAACCAGCACUGAAAUCAUCAAAAUAUAGCUUUGGGUCUCAAACUUGGCAGCUGGUACAGGUCUUAAAGCUGCUCUUAUCAAUAAUCCUGAGUUAACAAUGGAUCAAAGGAUUUUCUAUAAUAUGAAAGGGUGUCCCUCAAAAUGAAGAAUUAACACAGAAAUGCCCCCAAACCUCACAGUUACUUCAUCAGUAACUGUGAGUUAGUUAGUUAGUUGGUUAGUUAGUUAGUUAGUUAGUUAGUUAGUAUGUAUAGACGUUUUUGGUGUUUUUAGCUAAUGCCCAAGUGCAUUUAGCAACUAUGGAACUAAAAAUGUUUUCAAGAGUUGGUGGAGAUCAGAAACAGAGCCACAACAACAAGCCACCUUCAGCUCCCACAUCCUUUAUAUAAAUCUAAAGGGUGAUAUUGUUCCAAUUAAUGUGAUGAUAUUACAACUAUAACUAGUUCCACUUUGUGCAAGUGAUUACAAAUCUAUUAUUGAGGUUUUUCUUAGUGUCAGUUCUGUGCAGCAGGAUCAACCUGACUACAAAAAGAACGAGUUGAACUGCUUCACAGCCGUCUCAUGGCAGCGCCGUGUUUCAGCCUGUCGAGGAGAAUCACGUGAUCAGUGGUGUCGAAAGGUGUAAAGCGAUGAAAGCUGAUGUUUUUCUUCCGCCGGCACAAAAGAGACGACCAUUUAGAACUUCCUCAAGCCGUGAGUUUGAACGCUGGACUGAAACUUAAAAAAUAUACAUUGUUUUUAUUACUUAUUACUAGCAAUUUGUCUUUUUAAGGAUAAUGAUUUAAUUAAACAAUAGGUGUCAGUAUCACAACCUCUGUGAUUGUAUAACAACUAAAGCCCUUGAGCAAGGCAUUGGCCGCGCAUUAUGGUGCUCGCUGUAUUGACUUCCACAUGUGCAAAUUGAAAAACAAAUGUUGUAGCACGACCAAUGAAACAUCAUAUUAUUACUUUACUGCUCUAAAUAAUUAAUGGAAGUAUGAAGCUGUUUGUAUCCGGUUGACAAGUUUUCAAUUGAUUGAUUGAUUGAUGUGGUCUGAUUAUUGUGCCAGAUGGGACAGGACAGACAAAAAUAAGUUCUUAAUGUCUUGUGUCUAUCCCGCGAACAAUGAGCAGCGGACAUUAUAGCUAAUAUAAUAUUUCCAUUAUCGUCGGGCGAUUGAUAAAGUAGGAAUGUUUGCUUGUCUGGCGAUGACACGCUCCAUAAUUCUCUCACAUAUUAAAAGCAUUUGAUUUCACCUUUGGUCGAGCACAAUGAUGAACUGCAUAUGAUGCUCCUCAUUUGUCUCUUCUGUCUUCAUCAGCAUUUCUUUUAAAUAUACCCCCCCCCCUACCCCUUUUCUCUCUUAUGGAGUUGAAAGAGGGAUUUCUCACUUUAAGGUGCAAACAUUCAAUUACUUUUUAAAAAAUGUUCCUUGUUCUGCAUGCAGCAUUUUUCUCCAACUGUCCCUUUCUGUUUAUUUUAAGUCAUUUUAUCUUUUAUAUAUUUAUAUGAAUACUAAUUCUGAUCAUUGUGGGGUGUUUUUUCUAGCUGACUAGACCAUGUAUAUUACUCCCACCCCUCCCAAAGUCCCCUUUCUAACACCGUAUACAUGCAGAUCGAAAUUGUACACACAUUUAUUUGCAAGGAAAUCCAACCGCCGGUGUUUGUUCCCUUUUCAUCUUUCUUACAUGUACAUGUCUGCUCCUGUGCGCGUAAAUAGGAUUUUUGCAAGCCAAAACACUGAGUGAGUAGAAGGCAAUCUCUUUCUCUUUCAAGUCAUUGUUCACUUUACCGAGGGGAAUGAUGACAUGUUACAUUGUGUGUUUGAACGAAUUUGUGUGAAGCCGAUUAUUUGUAAAGAUGUACUUUUUGUGGAUACAUUGAUUUUGAACGGCACCAGCACAUCAACAUGGAAAAAAUAAAUAGCUUUUCAGAUUGUAGUUUGCUGUCUUUUUUUGUUUUAGAGCUCCAUUAAACCUCCAUAAUGUGACUAAGUGCCGCUGCUUUGCCAAAAGACUUUACCGUGAUGAAUGUACCUUCAGUGCUCCAUAACACUUUACGUGAAUACAGUAUUACAAACAGCACUCGCUGAUGCAUUGGUUACAGCAUCGCCAUAUGAAACCAUGUCUACAGUCUAAUGAACCACACGGAUAUCUUGCUGGAAUUUCCAAUCUCUUGCUGCCAUUAACGUGUUUCAUUCAUAAAUAAUCACUUCCUCUUUUUACUGCGGCUUGUAAUGCAUGUUUGCAAGCAGCACUUAUUAUAAAAUCAAUAUAAUGUCAAGACGCCGGUAAUCUAACCUACUAGAAGAGAAGACAAAACACUCAUGCUCAGCACUCCAGGAAGUAAUAAAUUACAAAAGUAAAUAUUGCCAUACAAUAAAGUGGUUGAAAAUGACAUAACGAAAUGACGGGUCUAUGCGAAAUAAAACCUUUUCCUGUAUGUUUGCAAAACAGCCAUGACUCAUUAAAUCCUUGGUGUCAUUUUUGUAUUCAGCCCAUGCUCAGUCUGCUGUAAACUUAAAUAAGCUCUCUUUAGCCUUUUUUUUAGGUCUUUUAUAGAUGUAACUGGAGGCAAAAUGAUUAUGUAUGUUUCGCCACCUCCUGUUCUUUACCCUCUUAAAAAUGCUGAAAUAACGCAGGGUCCCUGUGGGAGUUUGUGAGGAAGGAACCCAAAACACAACGGCUUCGGUGCACAGAGAGCUGCUCCCAUGACGCAUUUGUACUGGAGAAGGGGAUUUAUCCUGUUUCUGGGGAGGCAAGAUCUGAGAUCUCAGCAUCUGCUCUCCAGCUUGGCACUGUGAGUGCUGGAGGCAAGGCACAUCACCACCGUUUGAUUAAAGAUUUAUACCCUUUCAGACGUGGUUUCUCUCAUUUUCAGCAAACCAUAUCUCCUGCAUUUUGCUAAGAGCUGUUUAAAGUCAGGGAGUGUCUCUCUCCUUUGUUGUUUUUCUACUUUUUUUUUCAUCAUCUAGAAUGUCAAACAAAACAGCUAUGGAUUUUCAAUAAAUGUAUUCACUUCUGCUAAGUUGAAUAUGCAGUAAAACGGAUGCAAUGGGUGGGAAAAUCACAUAUUUUGAAAAUAAUUUAAAAUUCCAUUGAUUUUGAGGUUUGGAUCUCCACUUAAAGCAUGAUUUGGCCCGAAGUUGAACUCUAUUCACUCUCUAGUGUAAACACAUGUUUAAAAGCCCCCAUUCAGCACAUUUGCAUUUGAAUUGGAAAUGGCUCAGACCUGUCUGUAAGUCCCAGUGCACUAAUGUUGGACAAUCAAAUGGUUUCAACAGACAGACCUUUAAUCAAGCGAUAUUCAUGUGAAACACAUCCUGAACCACAAUAUUAUAUUCGGAGAAUUGGCAGUGCAUGUAGAUGCAUUUGAGAAAGCUAAAAAAAAUCACCUGUAAGAAGCAGCCGCCCAAACACUAAGAUUCCUUUGAGGACGCAACCUUGAUUUAUUUUGUUCUUGCUCUUCCUUGUUACCUCGGAUAGCCGACAUUUGCACGUCCAGCUGUGUCAGUAAAGCUGUGAUACGUCAUGAGGAGAGAACAUGGUAAACGUCAAUUUUUCCUUCAAAAUUUAAGGCAAAGGGCCUCCCCCCCUUAUUAAUGAAGGGUACAUAAUUACGCUUUAAAUGGCCUGCUGUGAAUUAUUUUUGAAAAAUGUUCAGAAAUGUUCAGAAAGAUCAUGCAGAAAUAAAUACAAAGAGGACCAACAGGCUCAGCCAUGUCCUUUUCAAAAUACGUCUUUUUCCCAGCACACGUGUGGACAUGUCAUAGCGUGAAAAGCCGACGGCUCUGUCACAUCUUCAUGUUCCACUAAGCCGGGACACUUUGACAGUCAGGACCAUGAAACUGAAGCAGCUAAAUGAAGUUUGGCCAUCAUUGAUUUUAUUACUUUUAUUACACUACUUCCUGGACUACUAACUGAUUCAAGUUUUGGUCGCAAUAUGGAAACCACUUUGAACUCCCUAUCUACAUUCAUGUUCCCCAGUCCCCCUUUUUUUGUCCAGACUGAAUAAUCUCAACAACCAUCUGCUGGAUUUCCUUGAAAUUUGGAUCCAGUUUUUUUUCAACUUUGCUAACAAGACACAUGGUUGUUUAUUGUCAGAUAAUCAAACUUUGAAGCUGAGGUUGCUUCAAUAUUGUUUUCCUUCUCUGAUCUUUUGGCCGUUUCGUUGGGUGGAAGAGUGAAUCAUUCUUAAAUCCACUUCUGCACCUUUCCCAUGCAGAAUUUUUACUGGUUGCCAUGGUCACAAGAUGAACCAAAGAGGGGAAGGUUGAAAAGGUUGAACCAUCACAAACUGAAACAUGGCUUAUAUUUGUGUGGUAAACCAGUAGCAAUAUUAGUGUGAUCUAUAACUAUAAAGUACAUUCUCAGUAAUUAUCAAAAAUACAAUAUAUAUAUAUAUAUGAUCUGUGUUGUUUAAUCCUUUUUAUUUUUUUACUUCUAUAUAAUUUGUCAUGACAACAUGUUUGCAGUGUGCACAGCAUCGCCACACCGUCAUUUAAGGGCUGUAAUCUAGUGUCACUGUGCACUGCAGCCACAAGCAUGUGUUACUUUAAUUUUCUCUACACUGGAAAAAAAAUAGUUGGCUCUAUUGUUAUCGCUCCAAAACCGGGCAAAUUCUGUCAGAAAAGUUAAAAGUAUUUCUGGAAAACAUUAACCAAUUAAGAGCAAAUAUUAAGGGCCAAUAUAAAUGGUGAUUUAAUUACCUUCUAUAAACCAUUAAAUAUUUCAUACUGAUGACGCAUCAGAGGAGUCAUUUUGCUUUACAGGCUACUGGUUCAUGUCCACCUGAGGGUGUCAGUCUGUCUGUGCCCUGGAGCCUUGGACAACACUGUGACUUUUAAUUGGUCUCUCGCCGACAGAGAAUCAAAAUGCAAAUCCUGCUAUCAGCUGUUUAAUUAUUCCUGGUUAGCGGGAGUAAAAGCUUUAGGAAGUUUUCAGUCGUAAGAUAAAAAUGAGCAAGUACGGGAUGAAUAUGUCAUUGCAAACAUUUCCUUAUUAGAUGUCAAAUUGUUUUCCAGGGACGUCAGGCUGACCGAUUAAGCUCUUCAAUUCAUUUUCUUACUUUUUAUUUGUCCGGCAGUAUUGCCUCAGUGACAAACAAGAACACAAUCUUGCUCAUCUCAGCGAAAAAGGAAUGUCAGGUAAAAUAUUAAAUCUGGUGGACAAAGUUAGCCUGAGGCUGGGUUUGUUUCUUUUUAAUAAUGUGCUCCUCCAGUUGGUGGAAAGUGAGAGGUGAACGUGGAAACGGUGGACGGUGGACACUUGAUGGACUUGCUUACAAGCACAUCAUUGUUGCGCCCGCGCAUUUGGAAAUAGGAGGUUCUCCUUUUCUGAAUUAUAGAGCGUACCGGCUGUCAGCGCUGGAGAGCCGACCUCUGACCUCCUUUAAGAGGAAUGUGGCAGUGUCGGCAAGAGGCCGCCCUGACGAGAGGGGAGAGAGUGCCAGGAGGCCACGCUGGGCCUCACUUGUUAAACCGGUCCUGGAAGCCGAGAUUCCCCAGGGAACCGUUUACUGGAGAUAAUAUAUGAUGACAUUAAAGGAAAUUGCUUCUUGCUACAACCUGUCUCAUUUUUGUAGUUUUGGUAAUGAUUUCUUCAACAAUAAUGGAGGAAGAUUGUCUUUACAAAGCGCUACUCCAGUGAACACCAAUGCAAAAGAGGCUGAGUUAACAUCAUUUUUAAUCCCAAAGAGGGCUUAAGUCCAAAACCACUUAAUGUUACUUGGUGGCAUCUUUCUUCUCAGUGCUCUCUUGAAUACCACAGAAAACAUUGUCGCUUAUAGUUGAUUUCACGUGCUCUGUACUCCCCAUGAGAAAUAAACCAAUCUUACGGUUUACAAUUCCCGAAAUGUCCUUUUAAAGAUACGAUAAGACUGGGAAUGGGUGGACAUUUUGUCUAAUAAUCUUGGGGGGAUGUUUCAAGGACUUAGGCAGAUGGUUAGACAGUGAAAUAUUUCUUAACCAACAUCAAUGAUGACAACAACACUGAAAGCAUGACUCACGUCAUAAAAAAUGAUGCCUUUACGAAUCCGCUCAUUUUGAGCAUUAAACCUCAAAGCAGAUGGAUCAAAGUAAUUUAUCCAAGUCAUGUUAGACGUCCACACCUGUAGCAGGUGCCGUAUACACAAGAAUUGUAUUUCCCAGAAAUAUACAUUUUCACGGUUUCCACUGCAUCAACUAAAAAUGACAAAUACAGAGCAGGGUUUGAUGUUCUGUUUAAUAGCAGAUAUUAGAAACUAUCGAGAGCAGAGGCACUGGUAGGUGUUCUCAGGAAUCCAAACAGGCCAUUAUGCCGCCCCCGUAUCACAGCAGAUUAAUGGUCUGUUGUCCUUGUGGCAGUUGCCAAGGCUGCCGGAGGAUGAAUGAAACGUGUCGUGCGCCUGUAGAAAAUGGACACCGGGAUGCUGAAAUGAGGGCUUAAAGAGGACGUCUAAUUAGAGUCAGAGAUGGGCAGUCCUGGCCAUUAUCAAUCCAUUCAGACCCCCGAUGUGAAAACAGGGUUGAGGGUGGUCAUUAAUUGUGUAACUCUCCAGCCCUGUCUCCCAUAUGUACUGUAGCAAUGAGCAAUAGGUGUGAGCAUGAGAUGAACCACUUCAGCGUGAAAAGGAAAUACUAAUACAUUUUGUUUUUUUGUUACCAUACACUUGUGGUAGCUUAUAGCUUGCGUUACCAUUUUGCACAGUGUUGUGUUUGGAAUAUUUGAUGUGAUUCAUUUCUAAGUAAAAUAAGUGGGUUGUUAUUUUUCCUUUGUGCACGCACAUAGUGUAUACUUGAAGACGAUAGAGGACGAUCUCGGGUAUCAUGCACAGCCUUUUAUUAUCAAAGAGUACUAUAAUACUAUGUCAUAUUUUCUAGAACCAAGCAACCAGUCAACUUCUUAUUUACACCAGCAAAUGCAUGUCCAGUGUAUACAUGAAUAGUCAAGGCACAGUAGUUUUAAUGGGCGUGCUGGUAGAUGUGAAUCAUUUACAAAACGAUGAUGGCGGGCUGCGGUGUUUCAAAUCCCCGGUAGACUGGGCGUUCGACAGAUUUGCACACAAAAACCGAAUGUGCUUAUUAUUGGACGAUUUGAAAUUGUUCCUUGUUUUUUUCUUUAAUAACAAAUGCUCAGCAUAGGGGUGAAACUAAUGAUUAGCUAUCACCUCUUUGAAGCAGUUUUUACAGUUUAGUGUUAAAUCAAAAAUUCUCCAGAGGCAGCAAGCUGCUCACAGUGAUGGAUUAAUGGUCUUGAGCAAGUUUCAAAUCUCGCCAUCUAAUUUGAAUAGCCCACUGAAAUGAAUGGAAAAAUAAUGGCUGGUUAGAUACUAAAUCGAUCUGCGUCGCAUGGUUUGUUCUGGAAAAUAGCCAGUCAGGAAAGUAUACAUGAUUUGUGGCUAAUGGGACGGAGGAUACAAAACAGCCAUUAUGAUCCUUUGAGGAGAGUCUCUUUCGGCAGCAGUAAAAUUAUCCCCGAUGUUCAAUAGUUUUUGCAGUGUGCUUGCUUGGAGGCGUGGCGGGUUCACAGAAGGUGUGAGCCACCCAUCAUCCAUGAGAGAAACCCGUCCUCGCUGGAGAUGGCUAAUCUUGUUUUACGCUGCAAAUGCAUCUGCUCGCACUUAAUUGCAGCAGCCAGCCGCCUGUGAGUGGAUCAAAAUACAAAUUUGAUGGAUAGUUUGGCCUGUUGUAGACCUUUCAUAACAUUAGGGUUUAGCUGGUUAAAUUACUGACUAAUUAAUUAAAUUUCGGAAAAAUAAGUCAGGGACAAAGCCAAUGAAGGUUUGCACUUAACAGCUGUAAUUUGCACCUCAAAAGCAGAGCUUUUAGUGGAUAUCUCAAAAUUGUAUCCUUCAUUACGACAGCUUUAAAAAAUAGACGAACGGUGCACUUCUGAUUACUGAGGUUUGCGUCGGUUACUCAAACAGUGCAGAAACUUUCUCUGCACUGUUUGAUAAGCUGCACUGAUUCAGGCUGACAGCUGCCCGACAAGCUAUUAGCUACUCAGGGGUCCUUAAAUGUUUUCCAUUUCAGUCAUGGAAGACUUUUUUAGAAUGGCAAGUGCAGAACAGCCUGAAAUGUUUUUAACAGGUGUAAUGAUAGCUUUACACUGCAGAUAUGGUCGGUAACGGACCAUAUCUGCAUACCUGAGAGGUAAUUAGUUACUCUGGAAAGUACCCGAGAGCACCUCAUCCUACCUCGACCUGUUUUAUAUAAGAGGUGAUCGCAGAUUCAUUAAUACUUGGUCACUGUUUCUUUUUGGAAAUAAUUUCCAAUCAAUGAUUGCUCAUCAAAUAUUAUAUUAUACGCAGUCUAGUUUUUGUCAAGGAAUUAAUCUUAAUUGAAUUAGGUUUAGCACUAGCUAAAGGAACUGCUUAGAACUUACAGGCAUGCAUCACAGACUGUGUUUGAAAUAAACACCUUCUGUGUCUGGAAUGAUACCAUGGCAAUUGUUAUACUGUCUGAAAGGUUAUAUGAGGCUAGUCAGCCUCAGUGAUGAGAAGUUAUAAAAUUGCUGUCUUGCCAGAGCAGGUUUCGAUUUAAUGGCAGAGUGGGCUCACAUGAAAAGCAUAGAACAAAGGUAAAAGUUUGCUGCAAUGACUGAUUGUUUAGAGGGCGGCGUGGCGAAAACUAGCACGAGAGGGUAAGAGAAGGGACAACAAACCAUGCUGAAAAUGUUCACACGCAGAUGCUCAGCAGGUUCAUAUUGAGAUUUAAAAAUGCAUAAUUGAGCCAAAAAGUUAAUUAGAGGGUUUCGUGUCUAAUACGGUUAAUUAUUUCACAACAACAAGUUUUCAGUAAUUAUAUUAAUUUAACCUGAACAUACUCAUCACACAACUGCAAAUAAUUCACACAGAGAUCAGCCAGAAUUACCAAACAAGUCAGUUUUACCUGAGGCGCGUCACAGUUAUUUAAAUGUAAACAACAUGAACAACCGCCUAAAACAAAAAAGGGCGACACAGGGAAUGUAUGCCAGGGCAGGUUCGCAGAUACCUGUUGUCUUUUUUGCCCUCAGGCAGAUUUCGGGAUCAUUUGCAUUCUUUGAAAUAGUCCUAAAAUUUAAAAAAAUCCCAAACACUGCGCCAUCCUCGACUGCGAGCUACAACACCACCACUCUCCCCUACGCUACAAAACCACACAGCUGUCUCUCUCUCUCUGCAGCUGGCACUGCAUUGUCAUGGACACUGCAUGAGGCAAAGGCGAAACUGGUAAGAAGCAGAGCCGAUUGUUAUGUUAACAUCGGUUUGCUGGGAGGUGUGUUGUAAAUGUAGGUGGGGCUAAUUGCACUAAUGUUCUCGUAGGUCACCGCUUGUGAGCAUAAACACUAUGGCUUGUUAUCCGGAGGCCCGAGGGCGGUGGAGUGAUAAUGUCGGCCCGGCGUGGGCCAACAAACAGACCACUGCUUCUGCCCCAGACCGGUUUUUUAAACCUUCAGGGCAAAGAGGCUCCAAUCCCUCCACAUUCCAGAGUCAGGGGCUUUUCAGCCGUCUCUCUUCUGCAGCGCAACCGCCUGUGUUUAAACAGCCCUAAUCAGAUCUAUCUGUUGGACCUUUGAGGGUAGGGCUCGAUCCGCAUUGUUGCCGUGGACAAUGACUGACUUUACUGCCGCGGUGUGAGGUGACACCUGUGAGGUUCUUCUUUCACACUCCGCAAACAAGGUAUUAGGAAGUCAGUAAGUAUGCAAACUUUAUAUACGUUGCGCUUUUCCAAACAAGGGUUACGAAAGAGCCCUCCAAGCCGAGGCCAAAGAAAGGACAUCCAGAUUGGUCGGGGAGACAAGGUGGAAAGAUACAAAGAUCAACAAUAUAAAGGAGACCGUCUCAGCUAAAAGCUGAUAGGAUUACAGUGAAAUGCUGUUUUAAUUAGAGGCUCAGUAUAAACCCUUGUUGCGUUUAAUUUGUUGCCAUUCUCAUAGUUUGAAAUCCUCAGUUAAUGCAAAAUACCGCAAUUCAUCUCCCUCUGUAAAACGAUUGGUUGGUUGUUUACUUUAUGUUGCUGGCCUUUCAAAUGGACUAAUUUUACAACUGCAGAAUGUGGUGAUUAAUUUUUAAUUGUUUUUGCCAGGUAUUCGCCUCAGACACCUUGUAAACAUCUAGCAAUCAGAAAUGUCUGGGGAGAAAACCAACAGCACCUGACAGCAGAGUUUUCAGCAGAGUCACAGAAAUCAGGAAACUAAACCCUUGAGUUAAAGAAAGCUGCUAUGCCGCUGAGAACAAGCAACACACUUAAUCAGAGAGAAAAAACACAGGAUGGUUAAUGGAUGGAAUGGGUUUGUAUUUGUGUUUGACUGCCACCAACUGGGACCUGCACAAGGACUGUGAGCAGUGAUGCAUUCAGGAAUCUGACACCGUCUCAGAAUAAAAAGACAAGUCCUAUUCUUAGUCGGAGACGAGCAUGAAUUCAGAGAAGGUUGGAAAGCUACAGAUGUUUUUCCUUCGCUGCAAACUAGCUUCACUGGAGAUGAAGGCAGGCUAUAUUGGAGACCGCUUCAUAUUUAUUUUAUGCCGAACCGGAAUAAAUCAAGAACGAUUGCAAAGAUAAAAGCAUCAAUCUCGCUGUAAAGGUUGAGUUUUAAACGAAUAAAACAGAAACAGGCUUUUUAUCAUUCCUCCUUCGUUGUCCAUUUGAAGCAUCCACACCCCGCAAUGUUUUCUUGGAUGCUUCUCAGGAUUUACCGCCACACUGCUAGCUGCCGCUUAGGCGCCAUCCUCACCGCUGCUUCUUACCCCGGCCCCUUUUAGCUCUGUCUGGCUGAGGAUUUCACAUCUGGCACGCCAGCAAAGUCGGCGCAAACAACUGUGGUGUGUUGUAAAAGCUUUAAUAGGAAUGUGUGAGCUCGUUUUUGGAAAGGGAUGCAAUGUAACAAACGUUCAUUCAUAAGGAAAAAGUCUCACAAAACCAGCUUUAAGUUAAUUAACUUAGUAUGCAACGUGUACGUGGAGCUUCUUUGAUACUUGGCAAAAAUCAAGAUCCCACAAUAUUCUUCCAAGUGUGCUAAAAUUAGAUAAGUAAAAUAUGUAAAUGUCAGUUUAACCUCAGGCACGCAGUGACACGCAGAAACCUCUCAGGCUGUCUGGCGUCGUCCCUCAGGGACAUCUCAGGGGAAUAGUGGUGCCAUACUCUAAAACAUUUUCAUCUGUUUGUGAGAUCCAUGUUGGAAGUUCAAUCAAUUCACCAGGAUCAGAUGUGGUCACAGAUUAUUGAGUGCUUUCAAAGUCUACAUAUAUAUUUUUUUGUAAUAAGUCCUAAAUGGUUUAGGCCGUAGUUUGAGGAAUUUAUCUACGAUAUGUUAAAUACACUCAUUUUUCUAAAAGUGACAACUUAUUGACAAAUUAUAACAACUUCACAUUAAACUCAUAACUCAUAAAUAUAUAUAUAUAAAUAGUAUAAACUACAUUUCAAUAAAAUCCCAGCAGUCUUUACUCCCAGACCAUAGAUGGCACCACCUGAUUUUUUUUUUAAUAUAUCCCUUUUGUGACAUGUGGUGACAUGCCCUUUUCACUUUGAUGUAUCUAGAUUGCAUCUUAGUUCCAAGGUAUCCACCCUUCUACUUUAAAGAUAAACCAGCGACAGAAUGUCAACAUGCUUUCCCAUAUUAGCAUAAAAAAGAGAGAAGAAAUCACAAGCAAAUGACAAAUGAUUCCAAAAACUUUGCCUUUCUCCCUCUUUGCAAUCCCUCCCGCAGUGAGGAGUUCAACUUUUCCAAUUCAAAUAACAGAAUUGCCAUAACAUGACUUAUCUUUUGUUUAAGAGUUCAUUUCAUGGAACAUUUGGGUGCUGCACGUCAUUAUGAAGACGGCGCAGAGGAUCUAUUCCAGAAACGUUUGCUGCCAUGUUAAAGAGGGAUAAAAAGAAGCCGCCAUUUGUGUUUAUUCUGGGAUGUUGCUCAAAGCAUCAGCCUGCAGCAGGCGGCAAUUAAGUACUGCUGAUUCCACCGGCAAUGAGCUGCCGUUAACUGACAAACCAACAAAUACUUUCAGGCUUAGGUGAGAAAUAAACAAUAAUGACAGGUGACAGAUGCCUGAGUUGUUGCAGAAUGGUCUACAUCCUCAUGAAUAAUUUCCCUGCCUUUCACAUUGCCAGUAAAUCAUAGUUAUGCAUUCACAACCAGGUGAUCGGGGGGAAAAAAAAGACACAACUUGCAGUCUGCCCGACUUUGCCGAAUAUAUGACACAUGUAUCAACAGCGGCAUCCCAUGCAGCAUGCAGCCAGCGAACAUUUCACUUGUAAUACACCUGAAUUCUAUUUCCUCCCACAAAGCCCUCGCUGUAAUUAACUCUGCCUCACAGAUUUGAUCCACAGUCAGCCGAGGUGGUUUCCUUGCCCUUUGCAUUAAUUCAUCGAGUAAUCUAUGUCACUGGAUUUAAUGUUAUCAGUUAAUAUUUGGGCUUCCGGUUCAAUGGGAGAGUGCUGAUACACAGAAACCGGUUCAAUAAACACAACAAAUAUGAAUACUUUUUAUCAAGAUCAUCACUGUCAUCAUUUUGUAGUCUUUGAAGUCUUGCUGGUGUGCCUUGAUCUAAAUGUCAGGAUAGAGCAAAGGUCUCAUGUGAGUGUUUUGUUUACACUGUAAGUGUAUGUAAUUUCUUCUUCAGGAAAAUCAUCAUAUGAUUGUUAAAUAAAAACACAUAAGACAGCACAGUUUUUUUUACAUUUAUUAAAAAAUAUUUAUUUAUUUACACUCACUUUAUUUACAGGAAUUGCUUUCCUUCACCAAGCACAAUGGUUUCACAAGGAAUUUGUCUCGGUAAAUUUGCGCUGACAUGCUGCAACACGGUUCCACAAUACAGGAUUAACCGACGACAACCAGCAGAAAAAAAAAGGCGAAAAGACAGUCUGACAAUAAAUUGGAAACUGUACCAGUGUGGUAUCAGGUUCAAAGGCUAAAUAUGCACGUGCAACACAUCAUAGACCUAAUGCAGUGAUAUAGUGCAGUAAAUAAUUUGUAUGAUUUGAAGGAUCUUACACAAAUAUUUACGCCUGAAUGCGCUUAAACCCACUUUAAUUGUUGUAACAGCAUCUUUUUCUUUUUUUUUACUGCAGCGCUGUAUAAUAUUACCUCUCUCCAUUCAAACUGCUGCUUUUCUUCUACAUUAUUAAUAGAUUUGACAAUACGAUGUUUAAAGAACCGCGACAGACAGAGGAAGACUAUAGAAGCCAAUGCCAGCCACAAAUGGACUUAUAUUAUAUCAGAGGGACAAAACCCCAGCUUCAAAUGAGCUCCAAUGUUAUUUGCUCUACUUGAGGAAUAGGCAACCGUUAACCGCAUUGUUUGUCAAGGGAACAGUUCAAUGAUUCAGAAGUGGCCGUAGAAUAUCAGUUAAUGCAGCUUCAAAGGUCCUGCAUUACAACUGGAACGAUGUAGCCUCGCUGACCAUAGUUAGUGACGCACUGCAUCUCUCAUUAGCUCCCACUCAGUUUAACAAGGGUUUACGGGUUAGAAAUGUAUAAAACAUUCGCUGCAUGCUAAACACUGUUGACACGGUUGCCCUUUCAAACCACCAGAAACACAGCAACAGAAGACGUGCCUUUUGAUCUCCUCAUUUGUUCUACUGUUGCUAUCAACAGGCAAGUUUCUAUUGAUCGGCUUUAACACAUGUGAAGUACAGAUGGCAUGAGGCCCGAUCUCAUUUUCUUCAUGUAAAUCUGAGGAUCGUUUGGGGGGGAGUCAGGCUCUCUACGGCGCACAAGGAGAUCAAUAAAAGGCCGACUCCUCGCAGAAAGAGAGGUAACUCUGCAUCGACUACAGGCUGCUCACACACUCAAUCAGAUUAACUAAUGAAGCAAUUAUCGAUCCAAAUUGCGGCUGCUGGCUGGCGCAGGACUGGACCAUUAAGUGGAUCUUCCCCUCCCCUUGGCCGUGCUGAAAAUGUCAGGGUCACAGUGUUCGCUGCUUGACACAGUUUAUUGAAGCCCAAUCUGUAGGAGACUAAUCACUUGUCUUCCUCUCAGCAUAGCUGUUGUGAAGUAGCCCAACACCUGAGAGACAGGGGAGGAAUUUGAUUUUAACAACACCUGGAGGAGACCUGCCAUAUUUGCUGCUUCAACUGGGUGAAAGGGACUUAUUGGAAAAGAGGAUUGACCGCCGCAGGGUCGACAAUCAGCAGCAUCCUCUUCAGAAAACUCGCCAUUUCUGGUAAAAGCCGCUGUUGUUCCCGUCAUUCUGACAAAGCCGCAUUUAUUUAUUUUCAUACCUGAAACACAGCUUGAUAAUCAGUGCAGACCUGCAACAUGAAGCGGUUGGCGGGGGGCGGGAGAAAAAAAAACAUUUCCUGUCUGCCGCAUUCCCCGAAUGUCAAAAAACAUGUGCUUUCAUUGCCUGAGUCCACAGCAACGUGAGGUUGUUUGUUGGAGCAGUGUCACUAGACGUCUCGGGAGAUGUCAAAACAGAAGCGCUCAUUCUUUUAUCAAAUAAAUAAAGCAGGAGCCGCUACAGUUCCUCCAAUAUGACAUGAUGAAUUGUAAUUCAUUAGUCUGUGUGUAAUCUUCUUCUCCCGUCAUGGGGACUGACUGAAAGUGGCCUCCUGUGAAUACAAAGUGAACCUGAGCUCCAGCUGCAUUUAUCCCACUGAAGCCUGAGUGCGGCUUUUUCCACAGGUGUCGACGCUUUUUGUUGACGUGGAUUUUGAGGGGUUCUGUUUUGGUCGUUUGCCGUCUUUCAAUAUCUGCUGCAUUCCUUGACCAGCCUCACCCGAAAUAACAGUUAUGAUUACCAAGAAGUUAUGUAAUUUAACGACAGGCCCGGGCGUUCUGCCAUCAGUCGGUCUCUUUUCCCCACACGGGGAAAAAUGAAGUAAAGUAGUUCUCUCUUGCACCCGGCGCACUGAGGCAGGAUACAUAUUGCUUUGCGGUUAACUUGGAAUCAAAUUGCAUUAGAUUUUCACAGCCUGCGCCCUCACUCCAUUUGCACAAACCAUCACAGACAUGCAUGCAUUCCCCACCCAGAGAGAGGAAUACUUCCUUCUGCAAUAGAUUUCCUACCCCGGCCCAACACACAUUUUGUGAUCAUGCAGUUACAUCACAGGGGUGAUUCGUUUUAUUUGCAGCAGAGUGAGGUUUUAAUGACUAUUUUACGUGCUCUGAUGUUAUUUUUACCAACUUCUGAAAUGGACUCGGUGAGACUGUUACCGUUGUGACUGUUUUAGAGGAUUCUUUUAGAACAGGAAACAGCCCAUAUCUGUGGACUCGGCAGAACAGGUCAUGCAAGUAUACGCACAGACGGUUGUGAAAUUACACCGAGCCAUAAACCAACAGAGUCAGCGCCAAGGCACCCUAAUUAUUCCUAAUUAUUAUAAUUAAUUCUUAGCAUGACUAUUGUAUGGAUAUUAAUUAUUGUGACACUGCUCUUGAAUGUGCUUUGUGAAAUAAUUGAAAAAAUAUGGAGAUAUGAGCAAGAAUUUGAAUAAUGAAUUACAGCUAAAUUAUUUAGGUGGAAACGUCCUCAUUAUAAUUAACCUUGGACCUGCGUCCUAUAGCCUGCUUUACCAUGAACCCGAGAGGCACAAAGCUCUGUGUCAUCUCUUGCCGAAAGUGUGUGUGUGUGUGUGUGUGUGUGUGUGUGUGUUUGUGUGUGUGUGAGCAUGCGUCUUGCUUGUUGCUUGUAAGUGCAUGUCAGAGACAGCAGAGGUGGAAAAUUGCGGGUACAUUUACUCAGUUACAGCCAUUAAGUACAAUUUGGGUUUUCUCGGCAGACAUGUGCUUUUUCUUCAGGUGGAGUUCACUGCGUUUGUGUGACGGCUGCAGGUAUCACAAGUUACUUUGCCCGAUGCAGAUUUCUCCCUGUGAUAAGCUCAGAAAAUGUCACAGUCGUCAUGGUAAAAAUAGCGUAUGAAAAAAAAAUUAUAAAUCUAAAUGUCAACUUUUCAGGAAAAAAAAAAACGCCCUGUCAAUCUUGGCGAUGCACAGCCUUCUGACAUUGAACUGACAUUGAAUUGAGGAGGAAUGCAAUCACUCUGCUCAUCAGGGACAAUCUGUGACUUUGUGGAGAAUUGAUUACGGGCCUAUAAACAGAAAUCAAACAGCUUCUCAAAUAUGAGGGUUUGCUGUUUUUCUGACGUUUAAUAGACCAAGCGACCUCCUUUUUGAUUCAUUGGGACAGAUUGUCGUGUUGCGGCUAGAUACGCGUCAAUGCUAAUACUUACAACUAAGUACUAUAAUAACAACAAAUGAUAUGCCAGAGAAGAAGAGCAGUAAUAACAUGAACAAUAAUGAUGAAUUGUAUUUGCGAAGCACUUUUAGCCGCUGAGCUCUGAGUAUUACUGUGUACUACUGUGUACUUUGAUCUCAGUUUAGUUUAAAAUGCAGGUGGAGGAUUAAGGCCCUCAUUGUGCCUCUGGGUGUUCUGCUUGAGACAAGUCCGAGCUGCUGCUUUAUUGAACGUUUCUCCCCGCGCGCGCGCGUGCGUGUGUCUUACUACAUGCGUGCUGGCCUGCAGAGUUCAGGGUGCACGUUGGGAAGAGGGGAGGGGGACGGUGGGAGGGGGAAGCAGAGUUGAAGAUGAGAGUAAAAAGGGGGCCAAGGGGAGGAGUGG
Molecule: long non-coding RNA, 20362 nt
Organism: Gasterosteus aculeatus aculeatus (three-spined stickleback)
Lineage: Eukaryota; Metazoa; Chordata; Actinopteri; Perciformes; Gasterosteidae
Source: Ensembl